This 432-nucleotide ribosomal RNA is filed under the name uncultured bacterium. RNAcentral's name for it is "partial 16S ribosomal RNA". It matches the Rfam family "Bacterial small subunit ribosomal RNA", at positions 29 to 507 of the family's 1533-position model. The record is from RNAcentral.
ACGAACGCCGGCGGCAGGCUUAACACAUGCAAGUCGAACGGAUCCUUCGGGAUUAGUGGCAGACGGGUGAGUAACGCGUGGGAACGUACCCUUUGCUACGGAAUAACUCAGGGAAACUUGAGCUAAUACCGUAUGUGCCCUACGGGGGAAAGAUUUAUCGGCAAAGGAUCGGCCCGCGUUGGAUUAGCUAGUUGGUGGGGUAAUGGCCUACCAAGGCGACGAUCCAUAGCUGGUCUGAGAGGAUGAUCAGCCACACUGGGACUGAGACACGGCCCAGACUCCUACGGGAGGCAGCAGUGGGGAAUAUUGGACAAUGGGCGCAAGCCUGAUCCAGCCAUGCCGCGUGAGUGAUGAAGGUCUUAGGAUUGUAAAGCUCUUUCACCGGUGAAGAUAAUGACGGUAGCCGGAGAAGAAGCCCCGGCUAACUUCGUG